RNAcentral lists this ribosomal RNA (300 nucleotides) under Triticum aestivum (bread wheat). Its description in RNAcentral is "partial small subunit ribosomal RNA". Lineage: Eukaryota; Viridiplantae; Streptophyta; Magnoliopsida; Poales; Poaceae. The record is from RNAcentral.
AUGAUCUGUACCAGCCACAAGAUCCAUCACAGCAGUCACACUUGGCUAAAGCAGCAACACCAAGAGAAGGGCCAUCAGCCGCGAGAGGAAAGAAAAGAGCCAGUCAGCCGAGCAACCAGAUCAAACAUGGGACGGAGAGAAGUGAUGGUGGGGUUACGGCCUUGUGGGUGGAGAAGAAGAUUGGUGAGGAAACAUGCCGAGGAGGAGCCAGCAGAUGCAGAUGAGAAAAGCAAAGGUGGGGAAGAAAAGGCGGGCAGAAGUGAGAGAGAGAGAGGACAAGAGAGAAGCCACACCUUGUAG